RNAcentral lists this long non-coding RNA (463 nucleotides) under Ursus americanus (American black bear). RNAcentral describes it as "lncRNA (ENSUAMG00000004637.1)". The record is from RNAcentral. Lineage: Eukaryota; Metazoa; Chordata; Mammalia; Carnivora; Ursidae.
AGAUGUCGAGGCUCGCCCAGAAGAGGCAAUUUUAUCUGUUCGACAUGAACGCGUCUGGAUGGAGGGCAAUUGCGACAGCGAAAAAUGAGAAUUAGUGACAGCGACUUGAAGACUAGUUCCGGGGGGUCAGCACCCCAGGCCCUCUUUGAAACCUGCCAUGGGGUGAGAGCUGUGGCAGAGAGGAGGAAGCUGUGAAAGCCGCAGGCAGCGGGCUGAGUGGCUCAAUUGGUCCUGGCCAUCUUCUUCACUCCUAGGACUUCUCAGUGUGUCUCUACUCUCGUCAUUUAAGCACAGCGAUAAUCAAUCAUCUGCUGCCCUCGCACUGUCAGCGGAGUCAGCAGGCACGUGAUUAAACGCGCCGGCUGCGCGGGGCUCCCUCCAUCCCUGCAUCCCUGCAUCCCUGCAUCCCCGCAUCCCUCCAUCCGCCCGCCCGUCCUGCCCUUCCGGCUGGCGCUCGCCGCCC